Molecule: ribosomal RNA, 492 nt
Filed under: uncultured bacterium
Lineage: Bacteria
Description: partial 16S ribosomal RNA
Rfam family: Bacterial small subunit ribosomal RNA
Source: RNAcentral
AGUGAACGCUGGCGGUAGGCCUAACACAUGCCAGUCGAACGGCAGCACAGUAAGAGCUUGCUCUUACGGGUGGCGAGUGGCGGACGGGUGAGGAAUACAUCGGAAUCUACUUUUUCGUGGGGGAUAACGUAGGGAAACUUACGCUAAUACCGCAUACGACCUACGGGUGAAAGCAGGGGAUCUUCUGACCUUGCGCGAUUGAAUGAGCCGAUGUCGGAUUAGCUAGUUGGCGGGGUAAAGGCCCACCAAGGCGACGAUCCGUAGCUGGUCUGAGAGGAUGGUCAGCCACACUGGAACUGAGACACGGUCCAGACUCCUACGGGAGGCAGCAGUGGGGAAUAUUGGACAGUGGGCGCAAGCCUGAUCCAGCCAUACCGAGUGGGUGAAGAAGGCCUUCGGGUUGUAAAGCCCUUUUGUUGGGAAAGAAAAGCAGCAGGUUAAUACCCCGCUGUUCUGACGGUACCCAAAGAAUAAGCACCGGCUAACUUCGUG